UUGGCGUUUUUACAGCCAAGUAGGGGCGCUGUUCUGUCGGUGGCAGCCGUCUGUUAGUUUAUUUAAAGAUAGAAAAUAACUCAUACGCUUUAUUACAUACGGUUUGUCUUUGUAUUGUAGCAGAUUGUAUCGAGAAACGUCUAAAAAUUGGCAAUUUUAAGCUUCUGGUUCUAUAAUUUGUCAUUUUUAAUUUGGAAACACUGCCACGGAGGACCAUCGAAUAAGAACAUUAUACCAACGAAGAAGAGUCGACCAACGACUGUGUACACGCAAUCACGUCAACGUCAUCAAUUGCGGAAGUCAACAUGGAGUGGACGGUUCAAGUCAACGGAGUACCGAUGAAUUCAUCUUUAAACGACGAGUUGUACAUAGAUUUCCUCUCAGAGGGGUUUGAUGUAAAGACAUACACUGCUCAAGCUAUCCACCAUGCUGUCAUUGCUGAGCAGCUGGCCAAGCUGGCGCAAGGAAUCAGUCAACUUGAUAAAGAGCUUCAUAGCCAGGUGGUUGCCAGACAUGAAGAUUUAUUGGCACAGGCAACUGGGAUAGAAUCUCUAGAAGGGGUUCUUCAGAUGAUGCAGACAAGGAUCAGUGCACUACAGGCAACUGUUGAAAGGAUAAGGACUAAAAUUGUGGACCCAUACAACAAGAUUGUGGCCAGGAUCACUCAGCUGGGCAGACUACAGGUUGCCUGUGACCUUUUGCGCAGGAUUAUUCGUAUCUUGCAUUUAAGCAAGAGGCUUCAGGUUCAGCUUCAGGGUGGCAGUCGGGAGAUAACGAAAGCUGCGCAUAGUCUCAACGAACUUGAUUAUCUGUCUCAUGGAGUCAAUUUGAAUGGCAUUGAGGUGAUUGAGAAUGACCUGCUACUGAUCAGUCGAGCAAGACUGGAGGUGGAAAACCAGGCUAAACGAUUAUUAGAGCAGGGUACAGAAAUUCAGAAUCCGACCCAGGUUGGUACAGCCUUGCAAGUCUUCUACAACCUUGGUAAUCUGAGAGAGACUAUCAGCUCUGUUUUGGCGGCCUACCAGACCACCAUACAGGACAGUAUCAUCAGCGCUCUGGACAUUAAGAGCUUAACACAGCCAGCCAACCCCAGAGGUGCCCCAGGAAGAGCAGUGCUCCCAACACCUGGCAGCACAGCAGCUUUCCGUGCUGCUCUUUGGACAAACCUGGAAAAACUAAUGGACCAGAUAUGUGCUGCGUGCAAACAAGUGCAGCAUCUUCAGAAGGUUCUGAUGAAGAAGCGAGACCCUGUCACUCACAGGUGUUUCAUUGAUGAGAUUAUUAAGGAUGGCGAGCCUGAUAUCCUGUACACCUUUUGGACCGAUAUCACCAACAAUCUGAAAGAAGAGUUUCACAAAGCAACUGAAGCAUCAUCUUACCUGAAGCAAGCGUUUGAAGGAGAAUAUCCAAAACUGCUGCGGCUGUACAAUGAACUUUGGCGUCGCCUCCAGCAGUAUAGCGCCAGCCUGCAUGGUGCACUUAUAAACAGUGGCGGAAUAGACACCACUCUGGAGCUAGAAACAGACAGCCUAGACCUCUUCUCUCAAACUAAACAGGACUACAAUCCAGAGAGGGCGCUGAAGGAUUCCCUGCGCCCGUAUGAAGCAGCUUACCUUUCCAAGUCCCUGUCUCGCCUGUUUGAUCCCAUCAACCUGGUGUUCCCAAUGGGCGGACGCAACCCACCCUCACAUGAUGAAUUGGAAAGCAUCAUCAAGACCAUCAGCAGUGAGCUUAAUGUAGCAUCCAUCGAUUCCGACCUUUAUCUUGCUGUUGCCAAGAAUGCUGCCAAGACCGUACAGCUCUUCUGUGUCAAGUCCGAACAGCUGUUGGGUACUCAAGGUGAUGCAAGUCAGGUGAUCGGUCCACUAACUGAAGGCCAGAGGAGGAACAUUGGAGUAGUCAACUCGCUCUACCGUCUGCAGCUUGCUGUUGCCAAGCUAAUUUCUAGUUUGGGGACAAGCAUGACCGCUCCUGCAGAGGCUCUCUCUUCUUCUUUGGAGGAGUGCCAGGCGCUGAUGAGCAGCGCGGUGCAGCCUCUCCUGCAGUCCGUGAGCGACUCAAUAGAGGCCAUUUUAAUCACGCUGCACCAGGAGGACUUCUCAGGGGGGCUGUCCAACACCAGUAAGCCUGAUGUUGUCUGCUCGCUCUACAUGAAGGAGCUGCAGGGUUUUAUCUCCAGAGUGAUGGCCGACUACUUCAGACACUUUGAGUGCACUGAUUUCAUCUAUGAAAGCACAGAAUCCAUUGCUCAGAGAGCGAUCGAGUUAUUCAUACGACAUGCCAGCCUGCUGCGCCCGCUGGGGGAGGGCGGGAAGAUGCAAUUAGCGGCUGACUGUGCACAGAUGGAGUUGGCUGUAGCUCCGUUAUGCAGAAGAGUAUCAGAUUUGGGAAAAGCUUACAGAAUUCUUCGCUCUUUUAGGCCACUGCUGUUUCAGACCAGCAAUCUAAUCAUCAGCAGUUCAGUUGUGGGGGAACUCAUUCCUUACAGCACCGUCCUUCACUUCCUGUUCACCAGGGCCCCGUCUGAGCUCAAGUCACCUUACCAGGCAUGUACACGCACACGCACACACUCUGUGAAUAACCUGAUGGACUUUUCGAGGAGGUGAAAAGUAAAGCAUCAUGUCUUCCACCCCCAGAGAGCAGAGUGGUCCAUCACUAGAUACUCCCAGUGGAUGGACGCUCAUCCCUCAGAGAAAGAUCGCAUUACACUUAUUAGAGGCACUCUGGAGGCGUACGUGCAGUCGGUCAGAGCUCGGCAGGGGAAGGAGUUUGCACCCAUCUAUCCCAUAAUGCUCCAGUUGCUGCAGAGAGCCACUAACGGUGCUUUGGAAGCCAAAGCCCUAGGGUGUUAACACAUGCAUG
Entelurus aequoreus (snake pipefish) is the source of this 2862-nucleotide RNA transcript. It is a transcript of the gene named component of oligomeric golgi complex 5, with no coding region annotated. The record is from RefSeq and is a predicted model, not a curated record. Lineage: Eukaryota; Metazoa; Chordata; Actinopteri; Syngnathiformes; Syngnathidae. The transcript is spliced from 21 exons.